GACGAACGCUGGCGGCGUGCUUAACACAUGCAAGUCGAACGGAAAGGCCCUGCUUGCAGGGUACUCGAGUGGCGAACGGGUGAGUAACACGUGGGUGAUCUGCCCUGCACUUCGGGAUAAGCCUGGGAAACUGGGUCUAAUACCGGAUAGGAGCCAUUUUUAGUGUGAUGGUUGGAAAGUUUUUUCGGUGUAGGAUGAGCUCGCGGCCUAUCAGCUUGUUGGUGGGGUAAUGGCCUACCAAGGCGGCGACGGGUAGCCGGCCUGAGAGGGUGGACGGCCACAGUGGGACUGAGAUACGGCCCAGACUCCUACGGGAGGCAGCAGUGGGGAAUAUUGCACAAUGGGCGCAAGCCUGAUGCAGCGACGCCGCGUGGGGGAUGACGGCCUUCGUGUUGUAAACUCCUUUCGCUAGGGACAAAGCUUUUUGUGACGGUACCUAGAUAAGAAGCACCGGCUAACUACGUG
RNAcentral lists this ribosomal RNA (465 nucleotides) under uncultured bacterium. Its description in RNAcentral is "partial 16S ribosomal RNA". It matches the Rfam family "Bacterial small subunit ribosomal RNA", at positions 28 to 507 of the family's 1533-position model. The record is from RNAcentral.